CCCGACUUCCCUUAAUUCUCCUCUGGCGGUAGUUCCGAUCCCGCGAUACCACUCGUCGAUGGCCUCCGAUGCGGGCUUUGGGAGGGCGGAAGGCACGGAGAGCAGCUUGAAGAAGAUCAAGCGGUUCCUGCUGCAGGCCCCGCUUCUCAAGCGAUCGGAAACGGUGCGGCUUCGGAUCUCUUGUUGUUCGUCGUGAUUCCAGUUUCGCUUCCAUUGAUGUCAAUCAACAUCAUUUGCAUCUGAUUCCAACAACCAGCACAGCCCAGUUGGUGCUACGGGCUCACAGAGAGGGUCUGAGUAACUUCAAUUGGAAUGAUUCUACAUAAUUAAGAACAGUUGCUACUUUGGUUGCAGCUGCUAACUCAACUGUGAUGGAAGCAUCAGAAGAAACUGAAGCAGCAAUGAUGAUCUCCAUGAGAGCUGCUUUGGGCUUGGUGACUAAUAAUCCAAAUGAAGGUCAUCUUGAUGAUCUUACAAUUAUGAAGAUUGCAAAGCAACACAAAGCAGGCCUGUGAAGAAAGAUCUGAGUCUGCUCUGGUGCUGAUGA
Non-coding RNA from Musa acuminata subsp. malaccensis (wild Malaysian banana), 547 nucleotides. The record is from RefSeq and is a predicted model, not a curated record. NCBI's taxonomy places the organism in Eukaryota, Viridiplantae, Streptophyta, Magnoliopsida, Zingiberales, Musaceae.